AUUGAACGCUGGCGGCAGGCCUAACACAUGCAAGUCGAACGGUAACAGGAAGAAGCUUGCUUCUUUGCUGACGAGUGGCGGACGGGUGAGUAAUGUCUGGGAAACUGCCUGAUGGAGGGGGAUAACUACUGGAAACGGUAGCUAAUACCGCAUAACGUCGCAAGACCAAAGAGGGGGACCUUCGGGCCUCUUGCCAUCGGAUGUGCCCAGAUGGGAUUAGCUAGUAGGUGGGGUAACGGCUCACCUAGGCGACGAUCCCUAGCUGGUCUGAGAGGAUGACCAGCCACACUGGAACUGAGACACGGUACAGACUCCGACGGGAGGCAGCAGUGGGGAAUAUUGCACAAUGGGGGCAAGCCUGAUGCAGCCAUGCCGCGUGUAUGAAGAAGGCCUUCGGGUUGUAAAGUACUUUCAGCGGGGAGGAAGGGAGUAAAGUUAAUACCUUUGCUCAUUGACGUUACCCGCAGAAGAAGCACCGGCUAACUCCGUG
RNAcentral lists this ribosomal RNA (490 nucleotides) under uncultured bacterium. RNAcentral's name for it is "partial 16S ribosomal RNA". It matches the Rfam family "Bacterial small subunit ribosomal RNA", at positions 30 to 507 of the family's 1533-position model. The record is from RNAcentral.